Molecule: ribosomal RNA, 301 nt
Filed under: uncultured bacterium
Lineage: Bacteria
Description: partial 16S ribosomal RNA
Rfam family: Bacterial small subunit ribosomal RNA
Source: RNAcentral
CAGUAGCCGCGGUAAUACGUAGGUCCCGAGCGUUGUCCGGAUUUAUUGGGCGUAAAGCGAGCGCAGGCGGUUAGAUAAGUCUGAAGUUAAAGGCUGUGGCUUAACCAUAGUACGCUUUGGAAACUGUUUAACUUGAGUGCAAGAGGGGAGAGUGGAAUUCCAUGUGUAGCGGUGAAAUGCGUAGAUAUAUGGAGGAACACCGGUGGCGAAAGCGGCUCUCUGGCUUGUAACUGACGCUGAGGCUCGAAAGCGUGGGGCGCAAACAGGAUUAGAUACCCGGGUAGUCCCUGUCUCUUAUACA